Mesocricetus auratus (golden hamster) is the source of this 489-nucleotide long non-coding RNA. RefSeq lists it as uncharacterized. The record is from RefSeq and is a predicted model, not a curated record. Lineage: Eukaryota; Metazoa; Chordata; Mammalia; Rodentia; Cricetidae. The transcript is spliced from 2 exons.
GUAACCUUGGUCUCAAGUUUGUGUUUUCCAAGAAGCAUCUCAUUUCAGAAAGUGAGUUUCCAGUGAAGCAUUCAGAGAAGCCUGGACAUGGAAAGAAAAUGAUUUGUUUAAGAGAGAUGUACUGCAUAUAUGUAGGCACUGAAAGGAGAAUGAUGGAAUAAGCCCACUGCAUCCUUAACUGAAAAGAGAAAUCACUACACGGUGCCGGGAUAUGGGAAGGCCUUCCGAUUUCCACACCCCAGGUCCUCCGUUUUCUGCACCUACUACAAUGUGGAUUUAUGUUGGCCAAAAUAUCACCCACGGUAUCACAAGUGGAGUAUAAAGUGCCAUAUUGGGCUACCAUAUGGCUACUAACCUCCGACGUUGGUAGUAACUAUCAAUGUAGAAAUUUGAGAGCAGAAUGAGCCUCGGGAUAGAACCAGAUCUCACUCAAGCAUGUUAUAUAAUUGGCUGUAGUGAGAAACUAAGAAAAAAAAUGUCUCUGAACCA